This is a long non-coding RNA of Pecten maximus, 512 nucleotides long. RefSeq lists it as uncharacterized. The transcript has 3 exons. The record is from RefSeq and is a predicted model, not a curated record. NCBI's taxonomy places the organism in Eukaryota, Metazoa, Mollusca, Bivalvia, Pectinida, Pectinidae.
GGGAGUGUUGGGGUGGAUAGAUGUCAGUACAUAUGUAGGUUGGUAGGGGACAGACAUGGGGAGUGUCAGGAUGGAUAGAUGUCAGUACAUAUGUAGGUUGGUAGGGGACAUACAGACAAAUCUGACAUGGGGAAUGUUGGGGUGGAUUGAUGUCAGUACAUAUGUAGGUUGGUAGGGGACAUACAGACAAAUCUGACAUGGGGAGUGUUGGGGUGGAUAGAUGUCAGUACAUAUGUAGGUUGGUAGGGGACAGACAAAUCUGACAUGGGGAGUGUUGGGGUGGAUAGAUGUCAGUACAUAUGUAGGUUGGUAGGGGACAUACAGACAAAUCUGACAUGGGGAGUGUUGGGGUGGAUAGAUGUCAGUACAUAUGUAGGUUGGUAGGGGACAGACAAAUCUGACAUGGGGAGUGUUGGGGUGGAUAGAUGUCAGUACAUAUGUAGGUUGGUAGGGGACAUACAGACAAAUCUGACAUGGGGAGUGUCAGGGUGGAUAGAUGUCAGUACAUAUGU